GGGUAGUCCUAGCCGUAAACGCUGCGAGCCAGGUGUCGCGUAUUCUUCGGGAAUGCGCGGUGUCGUAACGAAGGUGUUAAGCUCGCCGCCUGGGGAGUACGGUCGCAAGGCUGAAACUUAAAGGAAUAGGCGGGGGAGCACUACAAGGGGUGCGGCGUGCGGUUCAAUUGAACUCAACGCCGGGAAUCUCACCAGGACCGACGGCAGGAUGAAGGUCAGUCUGAAGGGCUUACCUGACGGGCCAAGAGGUGGUGCAUGGCCGCCGUCAGCUCGUGCUGUGAAGUGUCCUGUUAAGUCAGGCAACGAGCGAGACCUGCACCCACAAUUGCCAGCACACUUUGAGUGGGCACAUUGUGGGGACUGCUCCGGAAACGGAGAGGAAGGUGCAGGCUACGGUAGGUCAGUAUGCCCCGAAUGCCCUGGGCUACACGCGCGCAACAAUGGUAGGGGACAAUGGGGCUGCAACCCCCGAAAGGGGGGAAGCUAAUCCUCUAAACCCCUAUCUUAGUCCGGAUUGAGGUUUGUAACCCAACC
RNAcentral lists this ribosomal RNA (534 nucleotides) under uncultured prokaryote. Its description in RNAcentral is "bacterial SSU rRNA". It matches the Rfam family "Archaeal small subunit ribosomal RNA", at positions 739 to 1273 of the family's 1478-position model. The record is from RNAcentral.